This 269-nucleotide ribosomal RNA is filed under the name uncultured archaeon. RNAcentral's name for it is "partial 16S ribosomal RNA". It matches the Rfam family "Archaeal small subunit ribosomal RNA", at positions 477 to 747 of the family's 1478-position model. The record is from RNAcentral.
CAGCACCUCAAGUGGUCAGGAUGAUUAUUGGGCCUAAGCAUCCGUAGCCGGCGCUGUAAGUUUUCGGUUAAAUCUGUACGCUCAACGUACAGGCUGCCGGGAAUACUGCAGCGCUAGGGAGUGGGAGAGGUAGACGGUACUCGGUAGGAAGGGGUAAAAUCCUUUGAUCUAUUGAUGACCACCUGUGGCGAAGGCGGUCUACCAGAACACGUCCGACGGUGAGGGAUGAAAGCUGGGGGAGCAAACCGGAUUAGAUACCCGCGUAGUCC